GUCCACGCCGUAAACGAUGAGUGCUAAGUGUUAGGGGUUUCCGCCCCUUAGUGCUGCAGCUAACGCAUUAAGCACUCCGCCUGGGGAGUACGGCCGCAAGGCUGAAACUCAAAGGAAUUGACGGGGGCCCGCACAAGCGGUGGAGCAUGUGGUUUAAUUCGAAGCAACGCGAAGAACCUUACCAGGUCUUGACAUCCUCUGACACUCCUAGAGAUAGGACGUUCCCCUUCGGGGGACAGAGUGACAGGUGGUGCAUGGUUGUCGU
RNAcentral lists this ribosomal RNA (265 nucleotides) under uncultured bacterium. RNAcentral's name for it is "partial 16S ribosomal RNA". It matches the Rfam family "Bacterial small subunit ribosomal RNA", at positions 793 to 1055 of the family's 1533-position model. The record is from RNAcentral.